This 329-nucleotide unclassified non-coding RNA is filed under the name soil metagenome. RNAcentral's name for it is "partial contains 5.8S ribosomal RNA, internal transcribed spacer 2, and large subunit ribosomal RNA". The stretch from base 1 to 120 matches the Rfam family "5.8S ribosomal RNA", at positions 35 to 154 of the family's 154-position model. The record is from RNAcentral.
GAUGAAGAACGUAGCGAAAUGCGAUAAGUAAUGUGAAUUGCAGAAUUCAGUGAAUCAUCGAAUCUUUGAACGCACAUUGCGCCCCCUGGUAUUCCGGGGGGCAUGCCUGUUCGAGCGUCAUUACAACCCUCAAGCUCUGCUUGGUGUUGGGCCCCGCCGCCCCGGCGGGCCCUAAAGUCAGUGGCGGUGCCAUCCGGCUCCGAGCGUAGUAAUUCUUCUCGCUCUGGAGGCCCGGGUGUGUGCUCGCCAGCAACCCCCAAUUUUUUUCAGGUUGACCUCGGAUCAGGUAGGGAUACCCGCUGAACUUAAGCAUAUCAAUAAGCGGAGGA